RNAcentral lists this ribosomal RNA (510 nucleotides) under Naegleria australiensis. Its description in RNAcentral is "SSU rRNA". It matches the Rfam family "Eukaryotic small subunit ribosomal RNA", at positions 1006 to 1477 of the family's 1831-position model. Lineage: Eukaryota; Heterolobosea; Eutetramitea; Acrasida; Naegleriidae. RNAcentral also lists the same sequence under 1 other name. The record is from RNAcentral.
GAUUAGAUACCGUCGUAGUCCCAACUAUAAACGAUACCAACCGAGUAUUUGGGAAGACACUAUCCCAGCGAUCUUCUCAGAACUCAAGGGAAACCUUAAGUCUUUGGGUUCUGGGGGGAGUAUAGUCGCAAGACCGAAACUUAAAGGAAUUGACGGAAAGGCACCACCAGGAGUGGAGUCUGCGGCUUAAUUCGACUCAACACGGGGAAACUCACCAGGUCAGGACACAAGUUUGAUUGACAGGUUAAUAGCCCUUUCUUGAUUGUGUGGUGGGUAGUGCAUGGCCGUUUCCAGUUCGUGGAGUGAUCUGUCUUGUUAAUUCAGAUAACGAACGAGACCUAAGCCUUUAACUAGCCGUAGGCCUUUUCCUUCGGGGAAGGGUUAGUUUGUCGGAACAGACUUCGGUUUGUUCCAAAACCUACGAGACUUUUGUCAGCUUCUUAAAGGGACUUCAUUCGUAAACUAGGAUGAGGAAGAUUUAGGCCAUAACAGGUCUGUGAUGCUCUUAGA